UUGGAAGAAAAAUGGGGAAUUUGCAAUGGAGCAGCAGAUUGGGGAAGCUCUCCAUCAAGAUUCAUGCCCGGAUUUGCAUUAUGAGUGAAUAAUUGGACCUUGUGCCAAGGUGGUGUAGCGUGUGCCAACAUUAUGAAAUAGUUUUGGGGCCAAAUUAGCUAUUUUGAUUGUCCACUAAGACCUAUUUGCUUUUGUUUUGGGCCGAACUAUGUAAUAUUACACAUUUCAUCUAAAGGUCUUUUUUGGAGCUGACCUAAUUGGUAUUUUGAGGCAUUGUCGAGGAUAUAUAGAAAAGGAUAGAUCAUUUGUGAUUUGUAUCAAGUCAACCAGAUGUUGUGAAUGUGCGUAAAAGGGAACUCCAUCAUCUACAAAUGAUAGAUGCUUUAUUUAUAGCAGUUCAAGUUCAUGUUUUGUAAUUCAAACUAUCAUGUAUCCUUCUAUCAAAUAACAAUUCUCCUUAGCAAGUCAAUAUAUCUUUGUAUCUUCGUCAGCAAGUCCAUUAGGGAGUAGUGAGCUUCCUUAGGCAGUGAGCCUUAAAAGAAAAUUUUAAAAAUUGUUCAUAUAUAUUGUGAGAUAGCUCUCACUAUAGUUUUUCCCUCA
Long non-coding RNA from Cryptomeria japonica (Japanese cedar), 600 nucleotides. RefSeq lists it as uncharacterized. The record is from RefSeq and is a predicted model, not a curated record. The transcript has 2 exons. Lineage: Eukaryota; Viridiplantae; Streptophyta; Pinopsida; Cupressales; Cupressaceae.